Molecule: long non-coding RNA, 532 nt
Filed under: Elaeis guineensis (African oil palm)
Lineage: Eukaryota; Viridiplantae; Streptophyta; Magnoliopsida; Arecales; Arecaceae
Description: long non-coding RNA (EGUI_LNC029800)
Source: RNAcentral
CCGUGACUGACGGCAGAUUGCCGUUAAGUUUUUCUUGAAUUUUGUUUAAUUAUUAUUUUGGAAUAUAUGAAGCGACCGCCGGCUGGGAAGCGAACAUACAAAGAGACGGCGGGGGAGGGGGGCGGAGGGCGGCAACGGUGUUGGCGGGUUCAUUGACGUCCGUUUGUUUUCGUAGUAGAAAGGAAGGCGGCGUGGUUGACGGCGAAGUGACGGAGGUGAGAUGGCUUUUGGGGCCACCGAAGGGCCGUCUGUGGAGGUGCGAGGAGCCAGGAGGAGACACGAAGUAAUGAAACCUGGAAAGAGGGCGGUGACGAGAACCGUGUGGCGGACAGCUCAGACGUGGAUCCCAACGGCUGCUUCCCACCAAAGCAAAGCUAACGCAAGGCGAGCCCCACCCGAGUCCCGUCACCACCCCGUGGUUCUUGCCAGAGUUUUACGACGGGGGCCAGGGGACCGGAGUCUUUUUCGAACUCCCGCCAUCUAACUUCUGCUUUCCCCAGCUUGGCGCCAAGGUUCAAACGAGCAAACCGGC